GACGAACGCUGGCGGCGUGCUUAACACAUGCAAGUCGAACGCUGAAGCUUGGUUCUUGCACUGGGUGGGUGAGUGGCGAACGGGUGAGUAAUACGUGAGUAACCUGCCCUUGACUCUGGGAUAUGCCGGGGAAACUGGGUCUAAUACGGGAUACGACAUGCCACUGCAUGGUGGUGUGGGGAAAGGGGUUUACUGGUUUUGGAUGGGCUCCCGGCCUAUCAGCUUGUUGGUGGGGUAAUGGCCUACCAAGGCGAGGACGGGUAGCCGGCCUGAGAGGGUGACCGGCCACACUGGGACUGAGAUACGGCCCAGACUCCUACGGGAGGCAGCAGUGGGGAAUAUUGCACAAUGGGCGGAAGCCUGAUGCAGCGACGCCGCGUGAGGGAUGACGGCCUUCGGGUUGUAAACCGCUUUCAGCAGGGAAGAAGCGAGAGUGACGGUACGUGCAGAAGAAGCGCCGGCUAACUACGUG
This 472-nucleotide ribosomal RNA is filed under the name uncultured bacterium. Its description in RNAcentral is "partial 16S ribosomal RNA". It matches the Rfam family "Bacterial small subunit ribosomal RNA", at positions 28 to 507 of the family's 1533-position model. The record is from RNAcentral.